Molecule: long non-coding RNA, 633 nt
Filed under: Homo sapiens (human)
Lineage: Eukaryota; Metazoa; Chordata; Mammalia; Primates; Hominidae
Description: HSALNT0341496
Source: RNAcentral
GGCUGGAGUGCAGUGCUGUGAUCAUAGCUCACUGCAGCCUUGACCUCCCAGGCUCAAACAAUCCUCCCACCUCAGCCUCCCAAGUAGCUGGGACCACAGGCUUACACCACCAAGCUUGGCUAAUUUUUUUUUUUUUUUAAGAGAUGGUGUUUUGCUAAGUUGCCCACACUGAUCUCAAAAUCCUUUUGUUUUUGCUUUGGAAUGGUCUGGAACUCCUGAGCUCAAGUGAUCCUCCCACCUUGGCCUCCCAAAGGCCUGGGAUUACACGUAUGAGCCACCGCACCAAGCCCAGGUUGAGCUUUUAAGGUAUUAAAGAUCCACUAGGUGAAAAAAAAGAGUGAAAGAUACAUAUGCCAUUUAAGGGAAGCACAGGAAAACUCCUAUUUUGUUUAUAUGUGAAUAGAGGCACAUAGAUGCCUAGAAAAGUGUCUGGGAGGGAAUGAAACCAGAUUGGCCACAAAAAUCACCUCUGGAAAAAGGAAAAGAAUGGGGACUUUCACUUUUUGCUUCAUAUGUUUCAUGUACCUUUUUUUUUUUUUUUUUUUUUUUGAGAUGGAGUUUCACUCUUAUUGCCCAGGCUGGGGUGCAGUGUGAGACCCCGUCUCAAACAAACAAAACAAAACAAAAUGAGGA